RNAcentral lists this ribosomal RNA (236 nucleotides) under uncultured bacterium. Its description in RNAcentral is "partial 16S ribosomal RNA". It matches the Rfam family "Bacterial small subunit ribosomal RNA", at positions 114 to 334 of the family's 1533-position model. The record is from RNAcentral.
CGCGUGGGAAAUCUACCUCCGAAUCGGGGAUAACCCGUCGAAAGGUGAGCUAAUACCGGAUAAUAUCCCAAGAACUCCUGUUUUUGGGAUCAAAGGUGGCCUCUACAUGUAAGCUACUGUUUGGAGAUGAGCCCGCGUACCAUUAGCUUGUUGGUAGGGUAAUGGCCUACCAAGGCCACGAUGGUUAGCUGGUCUGAGAGGAUGAUCAGCCACACUGGAACUGACACACGGUCCAG